GCCAGAGUUUGGGGAAGCUUGGUCUAGAUGAUAGAAAGGGUUCUAAUCGAUCUGUUCAAUGUGUUUAUGAAACACCAAAACAUUUAGGAGCACUUAAAAUUACUCACACAAUAAAAUAUAGCACUAAUUGAGGAUUCUGUUUGAUUUCUGUGAGAUGCCGGAGUAAGUGUUUCUAGGAAAAAUACAGUACAGUCAAAGGUCAGCCUGUGUGAUGUAAGUUACAGACAUAUUGUCAAUUGUUUGAAG
Molecule: non-coding RNA, 246 nt
Organism: Pelobates cultripes (western spadefoot toad)
Lineage: Eukaryota; Metazoa; Chordata; Amphibia; Anura; Pelobatidae
Source: the annotation of a GenBank genome assembly